GAUCAUGGCUCAGAUUGAACGCUGGCGGCAGGCCUAACGCAUGCAAGUCGAACGGUAACAGGAAGCAGCUUGCUGCUUCGCUGACGAGUGGCGGACGGGUGAGUAAUGUCUGGGAAACUGCCCGAUGGAGGGGGAUAACUACUGGAAACGGUAGCUAAUACCGCAUAAUGUCGCAAGACCAAAGAGGGGGACCUUCGGGCCUCUUGCCAUCGGAUGUGCCCAGAUGGGAUUAGCUAGUUGGUGAGGUAACGGCCCACCAAGGCGACGAUCCCUAGCUGGUCUGAGAGGAUGACCAGCCACACUGGAACUGAGACACGGUCCAGACUCCUACGGGAGGCAGCAGUGGGGAAUAUUGCACAAUGGGCGCAAGCCUGAUGCAGCCAAUGCCGCGUGUAUGAAGAAGGCCUUCGGGUUGUAAAGUACUUUCAGCGGGGAGGAAGGGGUUAAGGUUAAUAACCUUAGCCAUUGACGUUACCCGCAGAAGAAGCACCGGCUAACUCCGUGCCAGCCGCCGC
RNAcentral lists this ribosomal RNA (515 nucleotides) under uncultured bacterium. Its description in RNAcentral is "bacterial SSU rRNA". It matches the Rfam family "Bacterial small subunit ribosomal RNA", at positions 15 to 518 of the family's 1533-position model. The record is from RNAcentral.